Long non-coding RNA from Mauremys mutica (yellowpond turtle), 2011 nucleotides. RefSeq lists it as uncharacterized. The record is from RefSeq and is a predicted model, not a curated record. NCBI's taxonomy places the organism in Eukaryota, Metazoa, Chordata, Testudines, Geoemydidae. The transcript has 5 exons.
CCAAGGAUCUCAAACCACUUUGCAAAUGUUAAUUAACCAAUUAAACCUUUCAUCACCCUGUGAGAGGGAUGACCUCAAGAACAAGAUUCUGAUGCCCUUGUCAUUGGAAAGGAUGAAGGGGAAGAAAAACCAGGCACAUUUCUAGGGAACCUCCGAACACAUCGGAGCAUCUAGAAACGUGUUGGACCGUAUCUGAAAGCAAUCAUCUUAUUUUCCUGUGUUUGGAAAAUAAAAACACAGUGGAUCUGUUUUAACUAUGCUGAUGAAGAAAGCUCGUAGGCUUCUGCUGAGGCACAGUAAACUUGGAAAGUUCAGCUGAAGGGAGAUAUCUCUAUGUAGGACAAGGAAAUCUGUAUCAAGGGGAAUCCUUUGAGCUGCUAAGACUGGGGAAACAAUCUGGACUUUUGAUUCUAUAUCUACUGACUAAAAGAAGAAUAUAAGGAACUUGAAGAAAGCUAAGAAUUGCUAAACAGAGGAUGAUGCCAUGCUAACGUGACAGCCAUCAUCUUGGAACCAGGGAUCUCCAGAGCUAAAAGGCUGCUGUUUUCUCAGUGUUGUCUUCGGGCAGUUUCCUGUUGCCACAGUCGAUGGCCUGCCAACGCCUGCCUGGGCCUUUCAAGUGUCAACACUCCAAAGUUUGCUGCGAUGGCCAAAUGCUUGUUAAUGAGAUAUAGCAGCUGGGUAGGGGUGAACCACUGAGAUGUAUAAAGGCAUGCCGCUGGUGCAGGAAGCGAUGCCUUUUGAAUCUUUUCAGCACUCUGAAAGCAUUCAAAUCAAAGAGGGCAUGUUGUAUUCAUUAAUAAACCGAAGUUCCCAUGCAACUUUGUUAAAGCCAGUAGUUUAACUUUGUAAUAGACAGGUGAAUUUUUCACCAGUGUUUUAGACUGGAAGACAAAGAGCAAGAAAACAAGAGUUCAUGUACUGCCGAAAGCAUUACUUCCGAAUCAAGCAGCCAUACAGAAUUGUUAAACUGGGCUAGGUACUUGCCCUUUCUCAUGAAUAAAUGCCUGCAAGAUUCCUUUUUCUUGUAUUUUUUAUGCUUCAAAACUCACAGCCACCUGCCUGAGCUCUCCUUUCCCCUCCUGUUUCUUAAUUAAAAAUCAAAAACAUGAUUAAAAUCUAGAAUGAAAAAAACCUUGGGAAAAAAAAAGUCUGAAGACUCUACAGACAGGAUUAAUGACCAAAGCUGCUUGCAUUCAGACUGAGUAAAGCCCAUGUGAUCCUCAGUCUGCAUCUGUUUUGCUAUGACAGUAGCAGUAUAGGAGUGCCUAACAGCUGGGCCAAAAACAAGCAGAAAGCAAAUAUAAAAGAAACUAACAUCCAGUGCAAAGUUUCAAGGGCAAUGCAAGCCAAAGAGGAUCUGAAAGACAUUUCCAGCUUUUUUUUUUUUUUUUUAAAGAGUGGGGCAGCUGGUGAAAGAUUGAAUGCUAGGAAAACAGGUUUAAAACAGAAGCAGUCACCAUAAUAACAGUGACAAAAUUGCUUUGGAGACUUUAUAACAAAAGAACUGUUAGAAACAGGAAGAAGCCAUAUGCCAACCAUGAUUUGGUUUAUCUUAAUGACUUCCUGCUUCUCCACCAAAGAAUACAAGUGUCUCAUAACCGUUUAUACUCGCUUUCAUUUGCCUUUUCUAAUAACUCGUUCCAAGGUAAUUUAAGCCAAGGAACACUUUUAAGUGAUAUUUAGUUCUUUUCAAACAGACUGCUGGCCUAGCAUACAGGGGUCUCUCUGUAUUCACUAACCUGCUGCAGAUACUGUAUUUGUUUUCAGAAUUUAGGCAUACCUGUCAUUGGUUCCACGUGGCCCUCAUAGGGGUAAACUAAUGUAACAGUCACAAAGGCUAUGAUUAAAAGCCCACUCUGUCAUUCUGUUGAUUUCACUGGGUUUUGGAUUAGAGCUGGUUGAACAUUUUCUGACAGAACUGUUUUCCCAAGUGAAAUGCUUGUAUCAUACAAUUAAAUCAUUUCACAGGACUAUAUCAAGUUCAACAAAACACUUGACGAAAAAAUUA